RNAcentral lists this unclassified non-coding RNA (192 nucleotides) under uncultured Ascomycota. RNAcentral describes it as "sequence contains ITS1". Lineage: Eukaryota; Fungi; Ascomycota. The record is from RNAcentral.
UUGAGUGCUAAAACUCACUAUCCUUUGUGAACUUACCAGUGGGCAUAGCGUUGUUUCGGUGGUGCUGUCCCGGGGGGACAGUGGCCGGCGUAAUACCUGGCAAGCCACCGGCAGCGCGAUCAACUAAACUCUUGUUUUUAUUGUGAUUACUUCUGAGUUAGCUUCGAGAGGAGCAAAAAAAAAAAUGAAUCA